RNAcentral lists this ribosomal RNA (460 nucleotides) under uncultured bacterium. RNAcentral's name for it is "partial 16S ribosomal RNA". It matches the Rfam family "Bacterial small subunit ribosomal RNA", at positions 338 to 795 of the family's 1533-position model. The record is from RNAcentral.
CCUACGGGAGGCAGCAGUGAGGAAUAUUGGUCAAUGGACGAGAGUCUGAACCAGCCAAGUAGCGUGAAGGAUGACUGCCCUAUGGGUUGUAAACUUCUUUUAUAUGGGAAUAAACAGUUCACCGUGUGGGAUUUUGUCUGUACCAUAUGAAUAAGGAUCGGCUAACUCCGUGCCAGCAGCCGCGGUAAUACGGAGGAUCCGAGGGUUAGCCGGAUUGAUUGGGUUUAACGGGAGCGUAGGUGGAUUGUUAAGUCAGUUGUGAAAGGUUGCGGCUCAACCGUAAAAUUGCAGUUGAAACUGGCAAUCUUGAGUACAGUAGAGGUGGGCGGAAUUCGUGGUGUAGCGGUGAAAUGCUUAGAUAUCACGAAGAACUCCGAUUGCGAAGGCAGCUCACUGGACUGCAACUGACACUGAGGCUCGAAAGUGUGGGUAUCAAACAGGAUUAGAUACCCGAGUAGUC